GAUUUCACAGCAUGUAAAAUAAGUGUUUAACUGGUUAAAAUGUAAUUCUGAAUAGGAGGUGUGGGGGGAAGGAGCAUGCUCAGUACAGCAUCUUUGUAGAAUAAAAUUGCCAGCCUCUAACCAACCUCUAUGGAGCAGUUACCGCUUUCUAUUAGGCAAGAAGGAACCUGUUUAUAUAAAGUAGCAGAUGGCCCUGAUCUUUGCUCAUAACUCAGAGUGCAGGUAUGGGAAAUGCAGGCCACGGACGGUUGAGAAGGAACUGAAGGGGUCGGGUCAUGUGCGCUAGAUGAGGCACCAAUGAUGCCACAAGAUGGAGACGGCACAUGUGCGACCCGGACGGGCACUGCUCCUGCAAUUAUCCAAUCAA
Mauremys reevesii (Reeves's turtle) is the source of this 367-nucleotide long non-coding RNA. RefSeq lists it as uncharacterized. NCBI's taxonomy places the organism in Eukaryota, Metazoa, Chordata, Testudines, Geoemydidae. The record is from RefSeq and is a predicted model, not a curated record. The transcript has 3 exons.